RNAcentral lists this long non-coding RNA (468 nucleotides) under Equus caballus (horse). RNAcentral describes it as "lncRNA (ENSECAG00000057109.1)". The record is from RNAcentral. Lineage: Eukaryota; Metazoa; Chordata; Mammalia; Perissodactyla; Equidae.
CCUAAUUCGGCGUGCUGUCUUCAGAUGGUGCAGCCUCGGGCUCCGAGAAUGCUGCUCUGCUUAACCCAUUCUGUUCAAGACUGCAGAGGGCAACCUGCCCGCUCCUCUCUGUCACUAUUCUAGGAGCUGGAGACACAGUAUUGAACAAAGCUGGCAAAAUCCCUGCCUUGUGUUGUGGUUCUUGCACUCUAAUGAAGAAAAGUCGGGCUGCUGAGGAAGCUCCAUGUGGGUGGAAAUAACCUCUUCCUGGAUAUACAGAGGUGUCGACUUUGUGAGAUUGUAAGUUUCACAAGGAUGGGACCACGUCUCUCUUAGUGACACUGCAUCCCCAGCCGUCUGGCAUGAUAGGUCCUCGAUAAAUGCUAGAUUAAUGAACAAAGGAAUUAAUAAAUGAAUCUCAGUAUUUUAAUCUGGUUGGUGCCCAAAAAACCAUAAGCACAAAUAUCCAUAAUACAAGGUCAAGAGUUU